This is a long non-coding RNA of Wasmannia auropunctata (little fire ant), 567 nucleotides long. RefSeq lists it as uncharacterized. Lineage: Eukaryota; Metazoa; Arthropoda; Insecta; Hymenoptera; Formicidae. The transcript has 2 exons. The record is from RefSeq and is a predicted model, not a curated record.
AUGUAUAUGUGUCAAUUAAUCAAAUUUGAACUAUGUAAUACUAAAAUAUUAGGCAGUGGGCGAGUGUUUCGCUAGCAACGUACGGGCAGGGCCUGGCUAUUUGCGCUCGCUCCAGCUACUGCCUCCGCCACUCUGUCGCUACAGGCGCAGGGCGCAGGGCGCAGGGCGCGCUAAGAGAGGCUCUGGCAUAUCUGCUAUCACAUGCCACCGCCUCAACGGACCAACGUUGUUGGUUGUCUGAUUAGCUUGAGCGUGCCAGCGCAGGGGACUCUAUUCUGGCAACAACGACCUGGCCAGCCAGCCCGGAUGGCGUACAGCGCAGCGCAGUAGGACUGAUAUCCAGUAUGUAGGAAAAACUGACUGAUAAUACACGACAUCGUUGCGUCAUGAUUAGUUGAAAAAUUCGAAUGACUUACCAAGUCCACGUGCGGCAACGUCUGUAGCAACAAGGAUUGGUGCUUUGCCUGAUCUGAAAUCUACAAAUUACAGAUAUAAGUUUAUUGCGCGCACUCACACGUAUCGUUAAAUUUUUGCCGUAAAUAAAUUCUCCGCGAAGAGAUAUCUAGU